ACAAUAUUUGGAUCGUCAGUCUACCGGGCAAUUUCACCCGCUCCGUGGAAAAUCUUCCUGUUGUUGU
Molecule: microRNA precursor, 67 nt
Filed under: Bombyx mori (domestic silkworm)
Lineage: Eukaryota; Metazoa; Arthropoda; Insecta; Lepidoptera; Bombycidae
Description: mir-2774 microRNA precursor family
Rfam family: mir-2774 microRNA precursor family
Source: Rfam by way of RNAcentral